UACGUAGGGGGCGAGCGUUGUCCGGAUUCAUUGGGCGUAAAGCGCGCGCAGGCGGCCCGCUCAGUCGGCCGUGAAAGCGCCGGGCUCAACUCGGCGAGGUCGGGCGAUACUGGCGGGCUGGAGGCUGGUAGAGGGCGGUGGAAUUCCGGGUGUAGUGGUGGAAUGCGUAGAGCUCCGGAGGAACACCAGUGGCGAAGGCGGCCGCCUGGGCCACGCCUGACGCUGAGCCGCGAAAGCGUGGGGAGCGAGCCGG
Molecule: ribosomal RNA, 253 nt
Filed under: uncultured bacterium
Lineage: Bacteria
Description: partial 16S ribosomal RNA
Rfam family: Bacterial small subunit ribosomal RNA
Source: RNAcentral